Molecule: long non-coding RNA, 2036 nt
Filed under: Lathyrus oleraceus (garden pea)
Lineage: Eukaryota; Viridiplantae; Streptophyta; Magnoliopsida; Fabales; Fabaceae
Description: Pisum sativum (pea) long non-coding RNA (PSAT_LNC030939)
Source: RNAcentral
GGGUGCAAAGAGGAUCUAAAGCAGGCCCAAGCCAAGAGGUCCAAACAAAGUCCAAGGUGUUCAAUGUACCUCCCAGUCAACAGGUUGACUAUGAGAGGCUCAUGUGACCGUCAGAUCCUGUGAUCUGACCUGGUCAACACGGAUGGGCAAACGAAAGCAUAAGGACAUGGUAAGGAUAUAGGGAUAACACACGGGAUCUAAUGGAGAGGGUCCCAUGACUAGUGACAAGUGUCCACAUGGAGACACAUGUUACCACUGUACUUUGCCCAUAAUCAUGGCUUAAAAACUCCCACCCUCAAAAGAUUAACCUCAUUUCCCCAAAAUCUUUCCUUCUCUUCACUUCUAACCAACAAAAAUGCUUUGCAACUUCGUCCUCCUUCUCCGAUGCACCUUCUCCAGAGAAGACGGUGGUUGUAGGCAAAGGGUGGCGGCGCCACCUUCUUCUCCGACGAACCACCACCCUAAAACCUAAAACACUAACCCCCCCCCCCCCCCCUCAUUUCUUCUCUAUUAUCCAAGUAUGGCCUUGUUUUCACCUAAAUCCUCUUUAGACGGCCGAAUCGAACCCUAACAGAGCCCAAAUUACUAAGUCACGAAAACCUAACCUCACAAAACAAAACCUAGCUCAAAUAUUCCUCUAAACACAAACCAAAACCAAAUUUACAACAUUCAAAAGUCAAAAAGAUGAAACCCUAAUUUUGAAAUGAAACCCUAAACAACAAGAAUUUCAAGAAAUUGACAUGGGGGUUCCACAUAAAUUAACACAGGGAAGACGAUGGUCUUAAGAAAACAGAGAAAAGAAUAAAGACUCGCCAAAUCGGAGCUAGUUUGAUGAACUCUUCGACGAAAUAAGUAAGUUGUUUCUCUGUCUCUCUUUUUGUGUUGUCCAAUGUCUUCCUGCUUCCUCUCUUUCUUCUGAACUUGGUGUAUAUUUGAUAUUAUGUAUAAUUUAGGUAUAGCUCUUCUGACUCUGAAAUUUAGAGUAGAAUAAACGUGUAAAUUGAGCUUUAAUGGUGUGUGGUGAGAGGGCGUUUUAGCGGCAUAACAGUAGCUUUUUGUGAAUGGAACAGUGCGCUCAAUUUAUAGAAAAUAAAUAGGGAGUGAGAGAAUGCAAAUACGUGUGAGUUUCUGUGAAUAUCUUGUUUGCUCAUGUGAAUUUUUGAUAAUUCGGUGAAUUGGGAUAAAUUUUUAUAGGAACUUUUUGAAAUCCUUGAUUUUGCGGGCUUGCUUUUGUGAGUGGCCAAUGAGAAAAAGUGUUUUCCCUUCCACAUAUACUAUGUUUCUUCUGCUUUUUUUAUGUAUUCUCUUUUUGUUUUUAUCUGUGCAUAAUAUCAUUUUUUGUGAUCACAACAGUCCCACCAAUUUGGGAUGUACGUAUAGUUAUGGCAUGAGUACAUGGAUGUUAGUCCUGAUUUUAAAUGAAUAUGUAUGUUGAAUGAAUUGAUUGAAAGGUUUAUGCAUAUGCUCAUCGUGAGGUAUGUAAUGUUGUAUUCUUAUGUAUGUGUGUGUGAUGAGUUGAAAACAUGGUCCCUCAACUAUUCUAUCUGACUUUGCUCUAAUUGAUUUUAAUGUACGCAAGGUCAUUAGGGACAAUGGGCCUCUAAUGACCUCUAUUGGCCUUUUGCGAUGUGCUAGUGAUGCAGUUUUGAAUACCAUGAGCACAUGAUGAUAUGCUUUGUGUUUCUGCUAUUUGAGUUUUUCUCUUUUGUGCAACGGGAUUUUUGGUGAUUGAUCAUGACAUGGAAAUGGUUGACUCGAAGAUGAAGAAAGAACGAGGUUUUAGGCAUGGUGAGCGGGGAUUGAAUGAAAUUAUUAUUGGACACUAGCAGUUUAAGUUUUAUAGUUCUUAGGUUUUAGUAUUUUUAUUUUUAGCAAAGUUUCAAAAUAUAAAAACCAAGAGGUGACUUGAAAUGUAAAUGAAUUUCUAAACUUUUACUUCUAAUGCAAAUGCAAAUUUGACAAUGUAAAAAUCCAAACGCAACUUUUUUUUAUGCUUUUGUAUGCUAAAUGCUAUGUUCAAGUGCUAAAGUAUAAAC